CCUACGGGGGGCUGCAGUGAGGAAUAUUGGUCAAUGGCCGGAAGGCUGAACCAGCCAAGCCGCGUGAAGGACGAAGGUGCCAAGCAUUGUAAACUUCUUUUGUCAAGGGACAAAAUCAGGCUCGAGAGCCUGACCGAGGGUACUUGAAGAAAAAGCAUCGGCUAACUCCGUGCCAGCAGCCGCGGCAAUACGGAGGAUGAGAGCGUGCUCGGGAUUUAUUGGGUUAAAGGGGUGCGUAGGCGGGCUGUUAAGUUAGGGGGAAAAGCCCGGGGCUCAACCCCGGCUGGCAGUUGAUACUGGUUGUCUUGAGAUGUGGAGAGGUAUGCGGAAUGCGCGGUGUAGCGGUGAAAUGCGUAGAUAUUGCGAAGAACACUGAUGGCGAAGGCAGCAUCCCGG
RNAcentral lists this ribosomal RNA (396 nucleotides) under uncultured bacterium. Its description in RNAcentral is "partial 16S ribosomal RNA". It matches the Rfam family "Bacterial small subunit ribosomal RNA", at positions 338 to 732 of the family's 1533-position model. The record is from RNAcentral.